RNAcentral lists this ribosomal RNA (447 nucleotides) under uncultured bacterium. Its description in RNAcentral is "bacterial SSU rRNA". It matches the Rfam family "Bacterial small subunit ribosomal RNA", at positions 355 to 825 of the family's 1533-position model. The record is from RNAcentral.
UCGGGAAUUUUGGGCAAUGGGGGAAACCCUGACCCAGCAACGCCGCGUGAAGGAUGAAGUACUUCGGUAUGUAAACUUCGAAAGAAUAGGAAGAAUAAAUGACGGUACUAUUUAUAAGGUCCGGCUAACUACGUGCCAGCAGCCGCGGUAAUACGUAGGGACCAAGCGUUGUUCGGAUUUACUGGGCGUAAAGGGCGCGUAGGCGGCAUGACAAGUCACUUGUGAAAUCUCUGGGCUUAACCCAGAACGGCCAAGUGAUACUGUCGCGCUAGAGUGCAGAAGGGGCAAUCGGAAUUCUUGGUGUAGCGGUGAAAUGCGUAGAUAUCAAGAGGAACACCUGAGGUGAAGACGGGUUGCUGGGCCGACACUGACGCUGAGGCGCGAAAGCCAGGGGAGCAAACGGGAUUAGAUACCCCUGUAGUCCCUGAGCGGGCUGGCAAGGCGCAU